RNAcentral lists this ribosomal RNA (490 nucleotides) under uncultured bacterium. Its description in RNAcentral is "partial 16S ribosomal RNA". It matches the Rfam family "Bacterial small subunit ribosomal RNA", at positions 28 to 507 of the family's 1533-position model. The record is from RNAcentral.
GAUGAACGCUAGCUACAGGCUUAACACAUGCAAGUCGCGGGGCAGCAUGGGGGUUGCUUGCAAUCCCCGAUGGCGACCGGCGCACGGGUGAGUAACGCGUAUCCAACCUGCCCUUCACCACGCGAUAACCCGGCGAAAGUCGGACUAAUACCGUAUGUUGUCCAUUGACGGCAUCCGAUUUGGAUGAAAGGUUUGGCGGUGAAGUCUGGGGUUGCGUCCGUUUAGCUGGACGGCGGGGUGACGGCCCGCCGUGGCGACGAUCGGUAGGGGUUCUGAGAGGAAGGGCCCCCACAGUGGAACUGAGACACGGUCCAGACUCAUACGGGAGGCAGCAGUGAGGAAUAUUGGUCAAUGGGCGUAAGCCUGAACCAGCCAAGUAGCGUGCAGGAUGACGGCCCGAGGGGUUGUAGACUGCUUUUAUGCGGGGAUAAAGUGGCCCACGGGUGGGUUAUUGCAGGUACCGCAUGAAUAAGGACCGGCUAAUUACGUG